UAAGGAAUAUUGGUCAAUGGACGCAAGUCUGAACCAGCGAUGCCGCGUGGAUGAUGAAGGCCUUCGGGUCGUAAAGUCCUUUUCUGAGGGAAGAACUGUUUGACGAGGAAAUGCGUCGAAUUUGACGGUACCUCAGGAAUAAGCAACGGCUAACUCCGUGCCAGCAGCCGCGGUAAUACGGAGGUUGCAAGCGUUGUUCGGAAUAACUGGGCGUAAAGGGAGCGCAGGCGGCUUGGUAAGUCUAAAGUGAAAUCCCAGGGCUCAACUCUGGACGUGCUUUAGAUACUGCCUGGCUUGAGUACGUGAGAGGAGAUUGGAAUUCCAGGUGUAGCGGUGAAAUGCGUAGAUAUCUGGAGGAACACCGGUGGCGAAAGCGGAUCUCUGGCACGUUACUGACGCUGAGGCUCGAAAGCGUGGGGAGCAAACGGGAUUAGAUACCCCGGUAGUCCACGCCGUAAACGUUGUGCGCUAGGUGUAGGAGGUAUCGACCCCUUCUGUGCCG
RNAcentral lists this ribosomal RNA (502 nucleotides) under uncultured bacterium. RNAcentral describes it as "bacterial SSU rRNA". It matches the Rfam family "Bacterial small subunit ribosomal RNA", at positions 355 to 848 of the family's 1533-position model. The record is from RNAcentral.